Molecule: unclassified non-coding RNA, 345 nt
Filed under: soil metagenome
Description: partial contains 5.8S ribosomal RNA, internal transcribed spacer 2, and large subunit ribosomal RNA
Rfam family: 5.8S ribosomal RNA (bases 1-120)
Source: RNAcentral
GAUGAAGAACGUAGUGAAAUGCGAUAAUUAAUGUGAAUUGCAGAAUUCAGUGAAUCAUCGAGUCUUUGAACGCACAUUGCGCCCCCUGGUAUUCCGGGGGGCAUGCCUGUCCGAGCGUCAUUGCUGCCCUCAAGCACGACUUGUGUGUUGGGCCUCCGUCCUCCUCCCGGGGGACGGGCCCGAAAGGCAGCGGCGGCACCGCGUCCGGUCCUCGAGCGUAUGGGGCUUCGUCACCCGCUCUUGUAGGCCCGGCCGGCGCUUGCCGACACAUCAAUCUUUUUUCCAGGUUGACCUCGGAUCAGGUAGGGAUACCCGCUGAACUUAAGCAUAUCAAUAAGCGGAGGA